This 477-nucleotide ribosomal RNA is filed under the name uncultured bacterium. RNAcentral's name for it is "bacterial SSU rRNA". It matches the Rfam family "Bacterial small subunit ribosomal RNA", at positions 365 to 832 of the family's 1533-position model. The record is from RNAcentral.
UUCGCAAUGCCCGAAAGGGUGACGAAGCGACGCCGCGCGUGGGAAGAAGGCCUUCGGGUUGUAAACCACUGUCGGGAGUUAAGAAAUGCAAGGGUGCUAAUAGUAUCCUUGCUUGACUAAGGCUCCGGAGGAAGCCACGGCUAACUCUGUGCCAGCAGCCGCGGUAAUACAGAGGCGGCAAGCGUUGUUCGGAACUAUUGGGCGUAAAGAGCACGUAGGCGGCUAUGUAAGUCGGUUGUGAAAGCCUUCCGCUCAACGGAAGAACAGCAUCCGAUACUGCAUGGCUUGAGUGCGGGAGGGGAGAGUGGAACUUCUGGUGGAGCGGUGAAAUGCGUAGAUAUCAGAAGGAACGCCGGCGGCGAAAGCGGCUCUCUGGCCCAUAACUGACGCUGAGUGUGCGAAAGCUAGGGGAGCAAACGGGAUUAGAUACCCCGGUAGUCCUAGCCGUAAACGAUGGGCACUAAGUAGAGGGGUUUU